CUCUAAAAAAUCACCACCUUUUUUUCUCUCUCUCUCUUCACAUUCAUCAUCUUCAACCCUCCUCAAUUAUCGCUGCUUUUCCCUGAAUUCUGAAACUUUCUCAGAUUUCCAGAUCCUAAAAUUUCCAAUUUUAAUCAACAAAAAAAAAGUUGAAUUGCGAGGAAGAAGAAGAAGAAGAAAAGAGAUGAGCUUUCAAGAUCUGGAAGCGGGUCGUCGGCCACUGGCUUCCAGACGUGAUUUAAUAAAUGUAAAACAACAACAAGACCCAACUCAGGCCGUUGCUUCUGGAAUCUUCCAGAUUAACACAUCUGUUUCAUCUUUUCAACGUCUUGUUAAUACCCUUGGUACACCCAAAGAUACCCCUCAGCUUCGUGAAAAACUCCACAAGACAAGGUUACAUAUUGGGCAAUUGGUAAAGGAUACCUCAGCAAAACUCAAGCAAGCAAGUGAGACAGAUCAUGAAUAUAAUGUCAGUGCAAGCAAGAAGAUUGCUGAUGCGAAACUUGCAAAAGAUUUCCAAGAAGUUUUGAAGGAGUUCCAGAAAGCUCAACGUCUUGCAGCAGAGAGGGAAACAGCAUAUUCUCCUUUUGUUCCUCAGGCUGUUCUUCCUUCUAGUUACACAGCAAGUGAGAUUGACUUGAGUUCAGAUAAGACACCGGAGCAGCGAGCUCUUCUUGUUGAAGCUAGAAGACAAGAUGUGUUACUGUUGGACAAUGAGAUAUCUUUCAAUGAAGCCAUCAUAGAAGAAAGGGAUCAGGGAAUACAGGAAAUCCAGCAGCAAAUUGGUGAGGUGAAUGAGAUUUUCAAAGAUCUUGCAGUGCUUGUCCACGAUCAAGGAGCUAUGAUUGAUGAUAUCGGGUCCAAUGUUGAAAAUUCCCAUGCUGCAACUGCACAGGCGAGAUCCCAACUUGCCAAGGCAUCAAAAACCCAGAAAUCAAAUUCAUCACUGACCUGCUUGCUCUUGGUGAUAUUUGCAAUUGUUCUCCUCAUUUUACUUAUAAUCGUUGCAGCAUGAGGAGUGGUUCUGGAGAUUUACUCUUUAGGAAGGUUUUUUGGUCUGGAAAGAUGCAAAUUAUUCCAUUCUUCCUUUUCUUCUUCCCCAUGUUACCGCGUUUGUUUGGCUGUUGGGAGGCGGGAAACAAGAAAGGGGCGGGGUUGUGUUACUCUAUUCACUUUUUCAGGUUUAGGUGAGUGAUUGUUGUAUCACUUUCAGGUUGCUUGGCAUUUAAACAGAUGCUGGGAAGAUGUUCAGCUGUCUGGUUGAAUGUUUUGGUUGGGUUAUCUCUUAUGUCUAACAGGCGGUCCAGCCGUCCAGGUAAGCUUGAUAGGCUCACAUGGCAGGCUUGGCUGUUGGGGUAGCCCAUGGACUUAAUCGGGUCGGUCCAGGUGACCUAUACAUUGAUCAAUUGUAUUAUUAUUGUCUAUAAAACAUUCCUGAAAAGGCCUGACUAAUUGGGCUAGUUUGAUUGGGGGGUGGAUUAUACGAGUUUGUCUUUUUACCGUGGCCUGCCUGCUAGGUGGACUGAUAUGAGCCUUUUCCGGGCUGGCUGUGAGUGAAACUGGCCUGAUGAGUUCCCUGUGAACACGGCACACUGGCGAGGUAUGAUAAAUCUAUAUCAGAUAUAGGUUUCAUAACCUAUAUCAUGGGCAAUUUUGUCAUUUCAAAUAACUUAGUAAAAUGGAAUGCAAAAGCAAGGGAAUGGGGUAUUCCCCCUCAUUCCAUAAGUUAGUUCAAUCUCUCUCCUCAACCUAACUCCUCAACCUCACUCCUCAACCUCAGUCAUCAUCCCACCCACCGGAGACCCACCCACCAGAACCGGAAGGUUUGAAGCCGGAAUUCGCCGGAAAAUUCGCCGGAAAGAGGCGUAACUGUGUUUUUUCGUGAAUUGAAGCCGAUAGUUUAAUGCAAGUCAGGGUGGUGGAGGAAGAUUUCACAGCGAAAUGGAUAGAUAACAAUGACAUGUUCGUUGUAUUUUGCGCGUCGGAUUGCUUUCUUUUGUAACGAUCUAAUGCAAGUGUAAUUUUAAGUACCUCACUUAGCAUUCUAAUGGUUGUAUGGAUGAUGUUAAGUACUUUGUAUGAUUAUUGUUUUAUGAAUAUGUGAACUUAUCAUUUUGUAUUUAAAAUGAAGCAUCAUAUUGUGUUUA
This is an RNA transcript of Beta vulgaris subsp. vulgaris (sugar beet), 2147 nucleotides long. It is a transcript of the gene named syntaxin-22, with no coding region annotated. Lineage: Eukaryota; Viridiplantae; Streptophyta; Magnoliopsida; Caryophyllales; Amaranthaceae. The record is from RefSeq and is a predicted model, not a curated record. The transcript is spliced from 9 exons.